Molecule: ribosomal RNA, 603 nt
Filed under: Hepatozoon canis
Lineage: Eukaryota; Apicomplexa; Hepatozoidae
Description: SSU rRNA
Rfam family: Eukaryotic small subunit ribosomal RNA
Source: RNAcentral
AUACAUGAGCAAAAUCUCAACUUUAUUAGAAGAGACGCAUUUAUUAGAUAAAAAGCCAAUGCAUGCUUUUACAGUAUGAAAAUUGGUGAUUUAUAAUAACUUAGCAAAUCGCAUAGUGAAAACAGGCGAUAAAUCAUUCAAGUUUCUGACCUAUCAGCUUUCGACGGUAUGGUAUUGGCUUACCGUGGCAGUGACGGUUAACGGGGGAUUAGGGUUCGAUUCCGGAGAGGGAGCCUGAGAAACGGCUACCACAUCUAAGGAAGGCAGCAGGCGCGCAAAUUACCCAAUUCUAACAGUUUGAGAGAGGUAGUAACAAGAAAUAACAAUACAAGGCAGUUAAAAUGCUUUGUAAUUGGAAUGAUAGAAAUUUAAACCCUUUUUAAAGUAUCAAUUGGAGGGCAAGUCUGGUGCCAGCAGCCGCGGUAAUUCCAGCUCCAAUAGCGUAUAUUAAAAUUGUUGCAGUUAAAAAGCUCGUAGUUGAAGUUCUGCUAAAAGUAACCGGUCUGCUUUGAAUAAAAGUGGUAUCUUGGUAUGUAUUUAGCAAUGAUGUCCUUUGAAGUGUUUUUUACUUUAUUGUAAUAAAGCAUAUUCAGGACUUUUACU